GAUGAACGCUGGCGGCGUGCUUAACACAUGCAAGUCGAACGGAAAGGCCACAGCUUGCUGUGGUACUCGAGUGGCGAACGGGUGAGUAACACGUGGGUGAUCUGCCCUGUACUUCGGGAUAAGCUUGGGAAACUGGGUCUAAUACCGGAUAGGAAUCCCAUGUGGGUGUGUGGUUGGAAAGCUUUUGCGGUAUGGGAUGAGCUCGCGGCUUAUCAGCUUGUUGGUGGGGUAAUGGCCUACCAAGGCGUCGACGGGUAGCCGGCCUGAGAGGGUGUACGGCCACAUUGGGACUGAGAUACGGCCCAGACUCCUACGGGAGGCAGCAGUGGGGAAUAUUGCACAAUGGGCGCAAGCCUGAUGCAGCGACGCCGCGUGGGGGAUGACGGCCUUCGGGUUGUAAACUCCUUUCGCCAGUGACGAAGCGAAAGUGACGGUACCUGGUUAAGAAGCACCGGCUAACUACGUG
This 466-nucleotide ribosomal RNA is filed under the name uncultured bacterium. RNAcentral's name for it is "partial 16S ribosomal RNA". It matches the Rfam family "Bacterial small subunit ribosomal RNA", at positions 28 to 507 of the family's 1533-position model. The record is from RNAcentral.